GACGAACGCUGGCGGCGUGCUUAACACAUGCAAGUCGAACGGAAAGGCCCUGCUUUUGUGGGGUGCUCGAGUGGCGAACGGGUGAGUAACACGUGAGUAACCUGCCCUUGACUUUGGGAUAACUUCAGGAAACUGGGGCUAAUACCGGAUAGGAGCUCCUGCUGCAUGGUGGGGGUUGGAAAGUUUCGGCGGUUGGGGAUGGACUCGCGGCUUAUCAGCUUGUUGGUGGGGUAGUGGCUUACCAAGGCUUUGACGGGUAGCCGGCCUGAGAGGGUGACCGGCCACCUUGGGACUGAGGUUCGGGCCCGAACCCUACGGGAGGCAGCAGUGGGGAAUAUUGCACAAUGGGCGGAAGCCUGAUGCAGCAACGCCGCGUGCGGGAUGACGGCCUUCGGGUUGUAAACCGCUUUCGCCUGUGACGAAGCGUGAGUGACGGUAAUGGGUAAAGAAGCACCGGCUAACUACGUG
Molecule: ribosomal RNA, 468 nt
Filed under: uncultured bacterium
Lineage: Bacteria
Description: partial 16S ribosomal RNA
Rfam family: Bacterial small subunit ribosomal RNA
Source: RNAcentral